GUGAGCUCUAGAUGGGGCUGUGCGCUCUUCCAUCCGGUGCCGUACAAGACACCACAGAUGGGGAUUGCUGUUGUAGUCCAUUCCCACCUGGCCACUAAGAGGUCAGGUAGGAUGAGACAGACUGACGUGUGGUGCACGCCCCGCACCAGCGAGUCCAUCUCGUACUUCAACUGCAAUGAUCAGCUUAACUAGCCUACAUGGUUAUCCACGAGAGGCGCGUAGUAGCCAGACGGAGGCGGAGAUGGCGAACGCUAGUCGCACCGGGUCGCCGACCGCUCCCCUGCUGCUCUUCCCCGACAUGCGGCUCGGCUCUCCCUUCGCCUCUGGUGGACAGAACCAACUCCAGUGUAGAUCAACUUAAUUAGCCAACUUGGUUUCUCGCACCAACUAGGGCACCUGCAAUCACCAAGGUCCUAAAGCCAUAUGUUCUGAAGAUGCACUUCUAAAGCAACUUUGCGGCCAUGCCAAACACCAGUUUUGUCAUUAUGUCAGCGACGGGGCUAUGCGCUCUUUCGUCCGGUGUCGUACAAGACACCGCAGAUGGGGACUGCUGUCUUCGUCCAUUCCCACCUGGCCUCUGAGGAUUUGGUACAACAUGAUCACCUAUGCAGAGGAGAAGAGGUUCAUUAUGCCAGGCAAGGUGCAUGGUGGUAGGCUCAGUCUUCGGCCUCGUCAUCUUCCAUUGGCCCCGCUGUAGAGCCACAUAGGCGGCGAUGUUGGGCAUCGCCUAGAAGACAACCAUGGUGAGCUCCCCCAGCACCUCUCCUUUCUCUGCUCCUCGACUCCCGCUGCUCUGACCUUGUGGUCAUCGAGCCACGGCUUUCGUUGCUCUUGGUUCACAGCCAUCAUGAUGCCAUGUCAAAUGGAUAAGUUGCGAUGAUAUUGACCUGUUGUUUAGUGCAUUGUUCUCUCUCUCUGUGUGUGUGUGUGUGUGUGUGAUAAACUUUUCUUCUUUAUCGCCUGCUUUAUUGGUGAACAUCACCUUUGAUGAGCAUGGGCGUGUGGAUGGAGACUAAAACAAGAUGGCGAGCAGCAACACGCCUGACUUCAUCAACCUGUGUUCUUCCUAGUCUCUGAUCCGAUGGCUUAUGCGACCACCUCACCAUGUCCAAAUAUAAGUCAUUGUUGCAUGGAAGGUGAGCUAUGGCUGCUUCUAUGCUUUAGACUUGUUCCAGGGAUCAGAAGUUUGAAUCUGUGACUUUGCUUGUGCAUGUUCUGUUAUUGUUGGAUUAAGCAUGACUUUCUGCUGUUAUAUCCUUGAUCUCUAGGGCUUGUGUAUCUUGAUCAUUACUCACAGUUUACAAGGAGUAAAUAUCUGUUCUGUUUAGGGUACGCAUGAUGCCUUUACUUCUGUUUAAGGUCAAAUUGUUGUUAGAGUGAGAUUUUAAUUAGACGAGCCACUCCUCUAGACUGUUUACACGAA
Molecule: long non-coding RNA, 1423 nt
Organism: Triticum aestivum (bread wheat)
Lineage: Eukaryota; Viridiplantae; Streptophyta; Magnoliopsida; Poales; Poaceae
Exons: 5
Source: RefSeq, a predicted model, not a curated record